This is a long non-coding RNA of Oncorhynchus tshawytscha (Chinook salmon), 774 nucleotides long. The record is from Ensembl. Lineage: Eukaryota; Metazoa; Chordata; Actinopteri; Salmoniformes; Salmonidae.
GUGUGAUCGAGGCGUUAGUCUUUUGUUGUUGUAUUUUCUUCGAGCCUGCAGCAGGGGUCAGAAUUGACCAAAUAGCCACACACUGUGGACCUAUUGAAUCCAUUAUUCUUUCACAGCCGCUCUAAAUUCUACGACUUAAUACUAGACUCGUCCUUCCUGUCAGAAACGUUAUUUAGGUUAAUCUACUACAUAAUUCUAUGAUGUAACUGUCCAUGCCACGAAAGGGAGUUAUGGAGGCAUAUAGGCCGUUCUAUACCAGGAGGUCUUUGCCAGAGUACCCCACCCCCCUGCCCCAAUACCCCUCUGAACUAGCCACCAGGCGAAAGUGAAGAGAGGUCUAAUACAUACACAUACGCAGCCUGGUGGUUGGCUAAAGGCCGACACAGUUUAAACGAGAUGGGUUUAUGGUGUUGCUGCAGUUGGAAGUUGUCACUGUUAAACUCUCAGAUGUGUUCUACAGUGCAAUGAGUUGGCCAAUGCGCAAUGUAAUGAGCUAGCCACUCCACCUCCCUUCUGGUGACGUCGACAGUUGGUGCGUGCUUCUCUAAUGACAGUUUGUCUUGUUUGUUCAAGCCUACCAGUGGUUUGUGUCGCAGCGCCUGCUUUUUCCAGUUUCUCAUCCUCCUGGUUUUUGACCCUUGCCUGUCCUGUCCUGACCCUGUACCUGACCACUCUGCCUGUCCCUGAGCCUGCCUGCUGUCCUGUACCAUGGCCUCUAUUCUGGAUUAUUGACCCCUGUCGUUUGCCUGCACCUGUUACAAUAAACAUUGUUAC